RNAcentral lists this ribosomal RNA (467 nucleotides) under uncultured bacterium. Its description in RNAcentral is "partial 16S ribosomal RNA". It matches the Rfam family "Bacterial small subunit ribosomal RNA", at positions 29 to 507 of the family's 1533-position model. The record is from RNAcentral.
ACGAACGCUGGCGGCGUGCUUAACACAUGCAGGUCGAACGGAAGGGCCCUGCUUUUGUGGGGUGCUCGAGUGGCGAACGGGUGAGUAACACGUGAGUAACCUGCCCUUGACUUUGGGAUAACUUCAGGAAACUGGGGCUAAUACCGGAUAGGAGCUCCUGCUGCAUGGUGGGGGUUGGAAAGUUUCGGCGGUUGGGGAUGGACUCGCGGCUUAUCAGCUUGUUGGUGGGGUAGUGGCUUACCAAGGCUUUGACGGGUAGCCGGCCUGAGAGGGUGACCGGCCACAUUGGGACUGAGAUACGGCCCAGACUCCUACGGGAGGCAGCAGUGGGGAAUAUUGCACAAUGGGCGGAAGCCUGAUGCAGCAACGCCGCGUGCGGGAUGACGGCCUUCGGGUUGUAAACCGCUUUCGCCUGUGACGAAGCGUGAGUGACGGUAAUGGGUAAAGAAGCACCGGCUAACUACGUG